RNAcentral lists this ribosomal RNA (385 nucleotides) under uncultured bacterium. Its description in RNAcentral is "bacterial SSU rRNA". It matches the Rfam family "Bacterial small subunit ribosomal RNA", at positions 28 to 407 of the family's 1533-position model. The record is from RNAcentral.
GAUGAACGCUAGCGGCAGGCUUAACACAUGCAAGUCGAGGGGCAGCGUGGAGCAGCAAUGCUCUGACGGCGACCGGCGGAAGGGUGCGUAACACGUGAGCGACUUGCCCGUCACAGGGGGAUAACCGGCGGAAACGGCGACUAAUACCCCAUAUGAUGCGAUGCUGCAUGGCAUUGCAUUGAAAGAUUCAUCGGUGGCGGAUAGGCUCGCGGGACAUUAGCUAGACGGCGGGGCAACGGCCCACCGUGGCGACGAUGUCUAGGGGUUCUGAGAGGAAGGCCCCCCACACUGGGACCUGAGACACGGCCCAGACUCCUACGGGAGGCAGCAGUGAGGAAUAUUCGGUCAAUGGGCGGAAGCCUGAACCAGCCAUGCCGCGUGAAGG